UCCAAUUUCUCACCUACACCAGUGGCUACACCCGUCUCAAUUAUCUUACCUUUCUUUUGUUCUUAUUGUUUUGUUGUAAUUCCGUUAAAAUGAAUCGUACAAAAUUGAAAUUCGAAUAGAAAACUUAUAUUAAAAAAGAGAUAAUGGAGACGGGUGCAGCCACUGGUAUAGGUAAUUUAAU
RNAcentral lists this microRNA precursor (181 nucleotides) under Cinara cedri. Lineage: Eukaryota; Metazoa; Arthropoda; Insecta; Hemiptera; Aphididae. The record is from RNAcentral.